CUGCGCCGCGAAGCUCCCAAUUCAACCAGACAGAGCUUCUGUUUUUGUGUAUAAACUCGAAAUCCUCUUCAUCAACACAAUACACCACAUCCACACAAUACACCACAUCCUUCAUAUAGCCUAGUCGUUAUUAUCGUAAUGCAAUCUCUAGAUUGAGUGUGUGUAUGUGCGUGUGUGUACGUGUGAGAUAGAGUGCCCGUGUGUUUGCUUGAAUGUGCUGUUUCUGUAUCACGUACAUGUGUGUGUUUAGAGUGAGCUGAUUCAGUGUCAGUGUGUGGACAUGAGUUAGACAGGUAGAUCAGUAUGAUAAAAUGGGCGCGCGCACUCUCGGACAAACGAGCGAAGUAUCGUAAUGGGUUCAGCAGGUGGAGCCCUAAUUCAGUAAACUGGUUCAGUUUACUGUUCCUGAAAUGAGAUGAACGUGAGAUUGACAGAGCCGCUCAAAAACAGCUCCGCUUCAAGUUAGCUUCAACAAUGCGAUAGUUAGACAGAUGAAGUCAACAAGUCUCGCUUACUUUUUAGUCUUGUCUUCAAUUAUAGACGCGCAUCGCUGAGGCGUGUGUCAGUGUUUGUGUGAGAGAGAAGUUAACCAUCUUUUUUAGAGUUGUCAAGAUAUUUCAUUUGCCUGUAUCAACAACCUUUUUGUCAAGUGUGCUGUUGGACCAUUCAAGAGGAACACAUGAAUCGCAAAAUUGGUGCACAUGUUGCUCACUUGUUGCAUUUUAUUCGCUAAUUAAUAUCAGUGUGGAAGACUUCAUUCGUCAAGAUGGUAGAAAACGGAUCGCAAAAGUGUCAAAUAGCCUAGUGACUGAGGUAGGUUACUUAUUAUUUUGUCCACUCUUGUAUUUUGUACAAUUUGAAUUUGCAAUAUCAUCUUGAAUCCUUGGUUUACAUUUUAAUGGAAGAAUUGGGGCGAUGUUUUAGCGCGUGUGAAAUGUCAACGAGCUUUUGCAUUUACACACGUUGUUGAUAAUGCAUGUAUACCUGUUGCGUUGUCUUGUGCUUCAGAAUUAACUCGAAAGUGAUGAUGCACCUCAAAACGCGCUCAGUGCUGAAUGUUGUAAAAUUCAUGAUUGUUUUUCCUUACAUAACAGAUGGACCUAUAGAAUCUGGAACUGAAAUAGAGACAGAUGGACCUGAAAUAAGUUUUUCGACAGUGACAGAGACCCCACACGUCAGAGACCCCACAUCUUAGCCCUGAGGGGAUCGACAUUGUGAAAGAACUUGAUACCUCCAUGACUUUGACCUCUGACCUUUUUGAUAGAUUGGCCAAUGGUGUUCCAACACAGUUAACAUUGGAAAGGAUGAAUUACAGAAUUAACAGAGAGCGAAAGAGAGAGUGAAAGAAAUAAUAGAGAGAGUAAAAAAGAGAAAGACCGCUUGGAGAGAGAGGGAGAGAGCGAGAGAAUGAGAGAGCGCCUCCAUCCACAAUGUCUUUGCCACCCAGUAGUCAAGUAUGAGGAAGUAUAGCUUUUGCCUUUGCAAAGUAAGUUGUUACUUCAUCAUUGUGGCUUUUAAAAAUAAGGCGAAUAGCUUUUCUAUAAAUAGUUGUCUAGUGUACACACUAUGUAAGUACGACUUAGGCAUGCACUCUAUGCUGUUUUAUGUGUGUAACAUGGCCAAUUGCAUGGUU
Long non-coding RNA from Oncorhynchus kisutch (coho salmon), 1633 nucleotides. The record is from Ensembl. Lineage: Eukaryota; Metazoa; Chordata; Actinopteri; Salmoniformes; Salmonidae.